GAUGGAUUUUCAAAUGUGCACUUAUCUUAAUUUCUUUUUAUCUGCAACUACUAAAUAAUAUGAUCUAUAUAAACUAUGAUGUGAUAAGAUUUCUCAGCAGGUGAAUCACAUGAAUGCUGUCAACAUUACCAAGUUUAGAUACCCUAUAGAUAACUCUACUGUACCUUUGCUGUAUGGAGGAUGAUUAGUCCCCAUGUUAUAACCAUAUGUCUUAUAUCGGAUCAGUGCUUGUGCAUUAAAACCUUAGUUUACAGUUGACAAAAAAAAAAAAAAACACAAAAAAACUACUGUGACGGUCUGCCUAGUAUUCUGUUCUAAUUUAUUUAGUUUUCUUUAGUCUCUAAAUUCCAUCAAUUGAUGGUGUACAGCUAAUGGGCAUCCGUGAACAACUGUCUGAGCCUCUGUGUUGCUGUAAUUUUGCCAAUGUCCAGCCAAUGCUCUCCCCAGCAUUAACAGUCAAUAAUUAACUGGCCCACAUCUGAGUAAGUCUUCUUUAGGAUUUUAUAUGAAUGAGUAUGAUGAAGUUGAGUGAAUUUAAUAUUUUGUAGUAAUAGCUGAGCGAUGAGAUCAGCAGCAGAAACACCUUUUUGAACAUUGUUUUCAGUUUAGUCCAGCUGAGUUGUGCAGACUUGAAGAAAAAUCUAACCAGGUUGUUUUGAACCACCUGAGCAUCAUGGGUCAUGGUCUCCAGAAUGGUACCAGCAACAACCGUCUGGGCAUUUAUGUAGCCCUGCCCACACAGUAUGUUUAAAAACAGACCGUAAACAGACAAGAUGUUGCAGCUCACAGUGUACGCUGUGGUCAAGGAUAAGCAAUGUGUCAGUUUGCCAAACAGACUGUUUUGUAAUUAUUUAUUUUGAGAAUGUACCUGUAUACAAUUCACAAAAAAUAAAAUUGUAAAACAUUUCUUCUUACACUCUUGGUAGGCUGUUGUUUGAAAGCAGAUCUGAAACCAGAAAUACUGUAGAUACUGAACCAAGGUAGACUGGCCUUGUAUGUUACUGCACUAUGGGCAAUAUUUUCUUUGUACAUAUUAGCGGAACAGAUUGGGUUUUAUGUUGACAUUGUUUGGUUAUAGUGCAAUAUAUUUUGUAUGCAAGCAGUUUCAAUAAAUAACGGUUGAUCUUCCUCUGCCAA
Long non-coding RNA from Esox lucius (northern pike), 1137 nucleotides. The record is from Ensembl. Lineage: Eukaryota; Metazoa; Chordata; Actinopteri; Esociformes; Esocidae.